GCCAGACUCCUACGGGAGGCAGCAGUGGGGGAUAUUGCACAAUGGGGGAAACCCUGAUGCAGCGACGCCGCGUGGGUGAAGAAGUAUUUCGGUAUGUAAAGCCCUAUCAGCAGGGAAGAAAGAAGACGGUACCUGACUAAGAAGCCCCGGCUAACUACGUGCCAGCAGCCGCGGUAAUACGUAGGGGGCAAGCGUUAUCCGGAUUUACUGGGUGUAAAGGGAGCGUAGACGGCUGUGCAAGCCAGAUGUGAAAGCCCGGGGCUCAACCCCGGGACUGCAUUUGGAACUGUGUGGCUGGAGUGUCGGAGAGGCAGGCGGAAUUCCUAGUGUAGCGGUGAAAUGCGUAGAUAUUAGGAGGAACACCAGUGGCGAAGGCGGCCUGCUGGACGAUGACUGACGUUGAGGCUCGAAAGCGUGGGGAGCAAACAGGAUUAGAUACCCUGGUA
This 446-nucleotide ribosomal RNA is filed under the name uncultured bacterium. Its description in RNAcentral is "partial 16S ribosomal RNA". It matches the Rfam family "Bacterial small subunit ribosomal RNA", at positions 330 to 792 of the family's 1533-position model. The record is from RNAcentral.